CAGUAGCCGCGGUAAUACGAGGGGGGCAAGCGUUGUUCGGAAUUAUUGGGCGUAAAGGGUGCGUAGGCGGUUUGGCAAGUCUUGUGUGAAAUCUUCGGGCUCAACCCGAAGCCUGCACGAGAAACUGCCGGGCUUGAGUAUUGGAGAGGUGAGUGGAAUUUCCGGUGUAGCGGUGAAAUGCGUAGAUAUCGGAAGGAACACCUGUGGCGAAAGCGGCUCACUGGACAAUAACUGACGCUGAUGCACGAAAGCUAGGGGAGCAAACAGGAUUAGAUACCCGCGUAGUCCCUGUCUCUUAUAA
RNAcentral lists this ribosomal RNA (301 nucleotides) under uncultured bacterium. RNAcentral describes it as "partial 16S ribosomal RNA". It matches the Rfam family "Bacterial small subunit ribosomal RNA", at positions 509 to 809 of the family's 1533-position model. The record is from RNAcentral.